CCCGGGAAGCUAAUACCGGAUAUGAAGCACUCGGGGCAUCCGAUGUGCUUGGAAAGAUUUAUCGGUUGGGGAUGGGCUCGCGGCCUAUCAGCUUGUUGGUGGGGUAACGGCCCACCAAGGCGACGACGGGUAGCCGGCCUGAGAGGGCGACCGGCCACACUGGGACUGAGACACGGCCCAGACUCCUACGGGAGGCAGCAGUGGGGAAUAUUGCGCAAUGGGCGAAAGCCUGACGCAGCGACGCCGCGUGAGGGACGAAGGCCUUCGGGUUGUAAACCUCUUUCAGCAGGGAAGAAGCGAAAGUGACGGUACCUGCAGAAGAAGCACCGGCUAACUACGUGCCAGCAGCCGCGGUAAUACGUAGGGUGCAAGCGUUGUCCGGAAUUAUUGGGCGUAAAGAGCUCGUAGGCGGUCUGUCGCGUCUGCUGUGAAAACUCGGGGCUUAACCCCGGGCCUGCAGUGGGUACGGGCAGACUAGAGUGCGGUAGGGGAGACUGGAAUUCCUGGUGUAGCGGUGAAAUGCGCAGAUAUCAGGG
RNAcentral lists this ribosomal RNA (536 nucleotides) under uncultured bacterium. Its description in RNAcentral is "bacterial SSU rRNA". It matches the Rfam family "Bacterial small subunit ribosomal RNA", at positions 150 to 702 of the family's 1533-position model. The record is from RNAcentral.